RNAcentral lists this long non-coding RNA (500 nucleotides) under Cyanistes caeruleus (blue tit). Its description in RNAcentral is "lncRNA (ENSCCEG00000010985.1)". The record is from RNAcentral. Lineage: Eukaryota; Metazoa; Chordata; Aves; Passeriformes; Paridae.
CAGACACAUCAAAAUCAGUGACAGGAUGAAACCAAAUUACUAGGCCUUUUUGUGGCUGGAGCACCAUGUGAUGCAUCACAAUGCAAGAUGACAAUUGAAACAUUUAAACUGUAGUUCAAACCACAGCAAAGAAAACCUCAGGACCCAAGAUCAGACAGAGAGAGAAAGAGAGAGGCAGAAAUAAUCAAGUGCUGAAUGGGCCAUAAGGCUGGCAGGACCAGGAGAGGAUGAGGCAAUUAUCACAGAUGCGUGAGGGAGAGAAGCUGGCCAAGGUUUUAUCACAACAGUCACCCAUAAAACAACUAAAAGAGCAAAUUUUCAGGGAAAUGUUGCGUUUGACUGAAAAUGAUGCAUUUCAUUUUGGGAAAUUUUGAAAGAUUCAGUGGACUGAAGAGGCAGAUCACAGACUCCUAGAAUGAUUGAGGAUGGGAAGAACCUCUGGAGAUCAUCUGGUUCAUCCCACCCUUGCUCAAGCAGGGCCAUCGAGAGGCAGUUGCCCA